This 484-nucleotide ribosomal RNA is filed under the name uncultured bacterium. RNAcentral describes it as "partial 16S ribosomal RNA". It matches the Rfam family "Bacterial small subunit ribosomal RNA", at positions 30 to 507 of the family's 1533-position model. The record is from RNAcentral.
AUUGAACGCUGGCGGCAGGCCUAACACAUGCAAGUCGAGCGGAUGAAGGGAGCUUGCUCCUGGAUUCAGCGGCGGACGGGUGGGUAAUGCCUAGGAACCUGUCUGGUAGUGGGGGAUAACGUCCGGAAACGGGCGCUAAUACCGCAUACGUCCUGAGGGAGAAAGUGGGGGAUCUUCGGACCUCACGCUAUCAGAUGAGCCUAGGUCGGAUUAGCUAGUUGGUGGGGUAAAGGCCUACCAAGGCGACGAUCCGUAACUGGUCUGAGAGGAUGAUCAGUCACACUGGAACUGAGACACGGUCCAGACUCCUACGGGAGGCAGCAGUGGGGAAUAUUGGACAAUGGGCGAAAGCCUGAUCCAGCCAUGCCGCGUGUGUGAAGAAGGUCUUCGGAUUGUAAAGCACUUUAAGUUGGGAGGAAGGGCAGUAAGUUAAUACCUUGCUGUUUUGACGUUACCAACAGAAUAAGCACCGGCUAACUUCGUG